RNAcentral lists this transfer RNA (67 nucleotides) under Petrasma pervernicosa. RNAcentral's name for it is "Solemya pervernicosa tRNA-Arg". The record is from RNAcentral. Lineage: Eukaryota; Metazoa; Mollusca; Bivalvia; Solemyida; Solemyidae.
AGUCAAGAAGCGAAGUAGUUGCGUAUGGUUUCGGCCCGUAAAUUUGGUGAAUUUAUCCCCUUGUCUA